This 460-nucleotide ribosomal RNA is filed under the name uncultured bacterium. RNAcentral's name for it is "partial 16S ribosomal RNA". It matches the Rfam family "Bacterial small subunit ribosomal RNA", at positions 338 to 795 of the family's 1533-position model. The record is from RNAcentral.
CCUACGGGUGGCAGCAGUGAGGAAUUUUGGUCAAUGGACGAGAGUCUGAACCAGCCACGUAGCGUGAAGGAUGACUGCCCUAUGGGUUGUAAACUUCUUUUAUAUGGGAAUAAAAUGUUACACGUGUGGGAUUUUGUAUGUACCAUAUGAAUACGGAUCGGCUAACUCCGUGCCAGCAGCCGCGGUAAUACGGAGGAGCCGAGCGUUAUCCGGAUUUAUUGGGUUUAAAGGGAGCGUAGGUUGAUUGUUAAGUCAGUUGUGAAAGUUUGCGGCUCAACCGUAAAAUUGCAGUUGAAACUGGCAGUCUAGAGUACAGUAGAGGGGGGCGGAAUUCGUGGUGUAGCGGUGAAAUGCGUAGAUAUCACGAAGAACUCCGAUGGCGAAGGCAGGUCACUGGACUGCAACUGACACUGAGGCUCGAAAGUGUGGGUAUCAAACAGGAUUAGAUACCCUAGUAGUC